RNAcentral lists this ribosomal RNA (1318 nucleotides) under Streptococcus thermophilus. RNAcentral describes it as "partial 16S ribosomal RNA". Lineage: Bacteria; Bacillati; Bacillota; Bacilli; Lactobacillales; Streptococcaceae. The record is from RNAcentral.
AGGCCCGGGAACGUAUUCACCGCGGCGUGCUGAUCCGCGAUUACUAGCGAUUCCGACUUCAUGUAGGCGAGUUGCAGCCUACAAUCCGAACUGAGAUUGGCUUUAAGAGAUUAGCUCGCCGUCACCGACUCGCAACUCGUUGUACCAACCAUUGUAGCACGUGUGUAGCCCAGGUCAUAAGGGGCAUGAUGAUUUGACGUCAUCCCCACCUUCCUCCGGUUUAUUACCGGCAGUCUCGCUAGAGUGCCCAACUGAAUGAUGGCAACUAACAAUAGGGGUUGCGCUCGUUGCGGGACUUAACCCAACAUCUCACGACACGAGCUGACGACAACCAUGCACCACCUGUCACCGAUGUACCGAAGUAACUUUCUAUCUCUAGAAAUAGCAUCGGGAUGUCAAGACCUGGUAAGGUUCUUCGCGUUGCUUCGAAUUAAACCACAUGCUCCACCGCUUGUGCGGGCCCCCGUCAAUUCCUUUGAGUUUCAACCUUGCGGUCGUACUCCCCAGGCGGAGUGCUUAAUGCGUUAGCUGCGGCACUGAAUCCCGGAAAGGAUCCAACACCUAGCACUCAUCGUUUACGGCGUGGACUACCAGGGUAUCUAAUCCUGUUCGCUCCCCACGCUUUCGAGCCUCAGCGUCAGUUACAGACCAGAGAGCCGCUUUCGCCACCGGUGUUCCUCCAUAUAUCUACGCAUUUCACCGCUACACAUGGAAUUCCACUCUCCCCUUCUGCACUCAAGUUUGACAGUUUCCAAAGCGAACUAUGGUUGAGCCACAGCCUUUAACUUCAGACUUAUCAAACCGCCUGCGCUCGCUUUACGCCCAAUAAAUCCGGACAACGCUCGGGACCUACGUAUUACCGCGGCUGCUGGCACGUAGUUAGCCGUCCCUUUCUGGUAAGCUACCGUCACAGUGUGAACUUUCCACUCUCACACCCGUUCUUGACUUACAACAGAGCUUUACGAUCCGAAAACCUUCUUCACUCACGCGGCGUUGCUCGGUCAGGGUUGCCCCCAUUGCCGAAGAUUCCCUACUGCUGCCUCCCGUAGGAGUCUGGGCCGUGUCUCAGUCCCAGUGUGGCCGAUCACCCUCUCAGGUCGGCUAUGUAUCGUCGCCUAGGUGAGCCAUUACCUCACCUACUAGCUAAUACAACGCAGGUCCAUCUUGUAGUGGAGCAAUUGCCCCUUUCAAAUAAAUGACAUGUGUCAUCCAUUGUUAUGCGGUAUUAGCUAUCGUUUCCAAUAGUUAUCCCCCGCUACAAGGCAGGUUACCUACGCGUUACUCACCCGUUCGCAACUCAUCCAAGAAGAGCAAGCUC